RNAcentral lists this ribosomal RNA (439 nucleotides) under uncultured bacterium. RNAcentral describes it as "partial 16S ribosomal RNA". It matches the Rfam family "Bacterial small subunit ribosomal RNA", at positions 339 to 795 of the family's 1533-position model. The record is from RNAcentral.
CUACGGGAGGCUCCAGUGAGGAAUAUUGCACAAUGGGGGGAACCCUGAUGCAGCAACGCCGCGUGGAGGAUGACGCAUUUCGGUGUGUAAACUCCUUUUAUAUGUCAAGAAAAUGACGGUAGCAUAUGAAUAAGCACCGGCUAACUCCGUGCCAGCAGCCGCGGUAAUACGGAGGGUGCAAGCGUUACUCGGAAUCACUGGGCGUAAAGGACGCGUAGGCGGGUUGGAAAGUCAGGUGUGAAAUCCUACAGCUUAACUGUAGAACUGCACUUGAAACUUCUAAUCUAGAGUAUGGGAGGGUGAUAUGGAAUUAGUGGUGUGGGGGUAAAAUCCGUAGAUAUCACUAGGAAUACCUAAAGCGAAGGCGAUCUCCUGGAACAUUACUGACGCUAAGGCGUGAAAGCGUGGGGAGCAAUCAGGAUUAGAUACCCUCGUAAUC